UACCAGCUCUCCGAGUGGUAGGGAUGAUUAUUGGGCUUAAAGCGUCCGUAGCCGGCUUAGCAAGUCUCCUGUUAAAUUCAGCGACCUAAUCGUUGAGCCGCGGGAGAUACUACUAGGCUAGGAGGCAGGAGAGGUCAACGGUACUUCCGGGGUAGGGGUGAAAUCCUAUAAUCCUGGGAGGACCACCAGUGGCGAAGGCUGUUGACUAGAACGCGCUCGACGGUGAGGGACGAAAGCUGGGGGAGCGAACCGGAUUAGAUACCCGGGUAGUCCCAGCUGUAAACGAUGCGAGCUAGGUGUUGGGGUGGCUACGUGCCACUUCAGUGCCGCAGGGAAGCCAUUAAGCUCGCCGCCGUGGGGAGUACGGCCGCAAGGCUAGAAACUUAAAGGAAGUUGGCGGGGAGCACCACAAGGCGUGAAGCUUGCGGUUC
RNAcentral lists this ribosomal RNA (431 nucleotides) under uncultured archaeon. RNAcentral's name for it is "bacterial SSU rRNA". It matches the Rfam family "Archaeal small subunit ribosomal RNA", at positions 474 to 903 of the family's 1478-position model. The record is from RNAcentral.